This 775-nucleotide ribosomal RNA is filed under the name uncultured bacterium. Its description in RNAcentral is "bacterial SSU rRNA". It matches the Rfam family "Bacterial small subunit ribosomal RNA", at positions 559 to 1341 of the family's 1533-position model. The record is from RNAcentral.
UUUAAAGGGAGCGUAGAUGGAUGUUUAAGUCGGUUGUGAAAGUUUGCGGCUCAACCGUAAAAUUGCAGUUGAUACUGGAUAUCUUGAGUGUAGUUGAGGCAGGCGGAAUUCGUGGUGUAGCGGUGAAAUGCUUAGAUAUCACGAAGAACUCCGAUUGCGAAGGCAGCCUGCUAAGCUGCAACUGACAUUGAGGCUCGAAAGUGUGGGUAUCAAACAGGAUUAGAUACCCUGGUAGUCCACACGGUAAACGAUGAAUACUCGCUGUUUGCGAUAUACUGCAAGCGGCCAAGCGAAAGCGUUAAGUAUUCCACCUGGGGAGUACGCCGGCAACGGUGAAACUCAAAGGAAUUGACGGGGGCCCGCACAAGCGGAGGAACAUGUGGUUUAAUUCGAUGAUACGCGAGGAACCUUACCCGGGCUUAAAUUGCAGAUGAAUUACGGUGAAAGCCGUAAGCCGCAAGGCAUCUGUGAAGGUGCUGCAUGGUUGUCGUCAGCUCGUGCCGUGAGGUGUCGGCUUAAGUGCCAUAACGAGCGCAACCCUUGUUGUCAGUUACUAACAGGUUCCGCUGAGGACUCUGACAAGACUGCCAUCGUAAGAUGUGAGGAAGGUGGGGAUGACGUCAAAUCAGCACGGCCCUUACGUCCGGGGCUACACACGUGUUACAAUGGGGGGUACAGAGGCCGCUACCGCGCGAGUGGAUGCCAAUCCCCAAAACCUCUCUCAGUUCGGACUGGAGUCUGCAACCCGACUCCACGAAGCUGGAUUCGCUAGUAA